CUCGCCGGCCGCCCGACGACGCCGACGGGGACCAGCACGGCCUGAGGCAGCGGGAUGGGAACCAGGAGCGGCCCCGCCCCGGCGCCCUGAGCCCCCCUCGGAGCCGGAGCCGCGCCGGGCGCCGCGACCCUUCUCCGGGCAGCAGCGGCGGCAGCAGCAGCAGCAGCAGCAGCGUGUGAGCGGGACAGGAUGAUGAGCGGACAAUGAUGAUGGCCAGGAAGCAGGACGCCCGCAUUCCCACCUACAACGUGAGCGUGGUGGGGCUGUCCGGCACCGAGAAGGAGAAGGGGCAGUGCGGCGUCGGCAAGUCCUGCCUCUGCAACCGCUUCGUGCGGCCCAGCGCCGACGAGUUCCACCUGGACCACACGUCGGUCCUGAGCACCAGUGACUUCGGGGGCAGGGUGGUCAACAAUGACCACUUCCUCUACUGGGGGGAGGUGGUGCGGGCGCUGGAGGAGUGCGUGGACUGCAAGAUGCACGUGGUGGAGCAGACGGAGUUCAUCGACGACCAGACCUUCCAGCCCCACCGCAGCACGGCCCUGCAGCCCUACAUCAAGAGGGCGGCGGCCACCAAGCUGGCGUCGGCGGAGAAGCUCAUGUACUUCUGCACCGACCAGCUGGGGCUGGAGCAGGACUUCGAGCAGAAGCAGAUGCCCGACGGGAAGCUGCUGGUGGACGGGUUCCUGCUCUGCGUCGACGUCAGCCGGGGCAUGAACAGGAACUUCGACGACCAGCUCAAGUUCGUGUCGAACCUCUACAACCAGCUGGCCAAGACCAAGAAGCCCAUCGUGGUGGUGCUGACCAAGUGCGACGAGGGCGUGGAGCGCUACAUCCGCGACGCCCACGCCUUCGCCCUGGGCAAGAAGAACCUGCAGGUGGUGGAGACCUCGGCCCGCUCCAACGUCAACGUCGACCUGGCCUUCAGCACCCUGGUGCAGCUGGUGGACAAGAGCCGGGGCAAGGCCAAGAUCAUCCCCUACUUCGAGGCGCUGAAGCAGCAGAGCCAGCAGAUCGCGGCGGCCAAGGACAAGUACGAGUGGCUCGUGAGCCGCAUCGUCAAGAGCCACAACGAGGCCUGGGCCAACGUGAGCCGCAAGAUGCAGCCGUCGCCCGAGUACCAGGACUACGUGUACCUGGAGGGCACGCAGAAGGCCAAGAAGCUCUUCCUGCAGCACGUGCACCGCCUCAAGCAGGAGCACAUCGAGCGCCGGCGCAAGACCUACCUGGCCCUGCUGCCCCAGGCCUUCGACGCCCUCAUCCCCGACCUGGACGAGAUCGACCACCUGGGCCGGGGCAAGGUGGAGAAGCUACUGGAGGCCAAGCCCGACUUCCACAAGUGGUUCGUGGUGCUGGAGGAGACGCCCUGGGACGCCACGAGCCACGUGGACAACGUGGAGAACGAGCGCAUCCCCUUCGACCUGAUGGAGACGCCGCCCGCCGAGCAGCUCUACGAGGCCCACCUGGAGAAGCUGAGGAACGAGCGGAAGCGGGCGGAGAUGAGGAGGGCCUUCCGGGAGAACCUGGAGACGUCGCCCUUCAUCACGCCCGGGAAGCCCUGGGAGGAGGCCCGGAGCUUCAUCAUGAACGAGGACUUCUACAUGUGGCUGGAGGAGUCCGUGUACAUGGACAUCUACGGCAAGCACCAGAAGCAGAUCAUAGACAAGGCCAAGGAGGAGUUCCAGGAGCUGCUCCUGGAGUACUCGGAGCUGUUCUACGAGCUGGAGCUCGACGCCAAGCCCAGCAAGGAGAAGAUGGGCGUCAUCCAGGACGUGCUGGGCGAGGAGCAGCGCUUCAAGGCCCUGCAGAAGCUGCAGGCCGAGCGCGACGCCCUCAUCCUGAAGCACAUCCACUUCGUGUACCACCCCACCAAGGAGACGUGCCCCAGCUGCCCGGGCUGCGUGGACUCCAAGGUGGAGCAGCUGCUCGGCUCCCGCUUCAUCCGGCCCUCGGAGCGCAACCAGAAGAACCUGCUGCUGGACUCCAACAUCGACAGGAUCAACCUGGUGAUCCUGGGCAAGGACGGGCUGGCGCGGGAGCUGGCCAACGAGAUCCGGGCGCUGUGCACCAACGACGACAAGUACGUCAUCGAGGGCAAGAUGUACGAGCUGUCGCUGCGGCCCAUCGAGGGCAACGUGCGGCUGCCCGUCAACACCUUCCAGACGCCCACCUUCCAGCCCCACGGCUGCCUGUGCCUCUACAACUCCAAGGAGUCGCUGUCCUACGUGGUGGAGAGCAUCGAGAAGAGCCGCGAGUCCACCCUGGGCCGCCGGGAGAACCACCUGGUGCACCUGCCCCUGACGCUCGUCCUGGUCAACAAGAGGGGCGACGCCAGCGGGGAGACCCUGCACAGCCUCGUCCAGCAGGGCCAGCAGAUCGCCAGCAAGCUCCAGUGCGUCUUCCUGGACCCGGCCUCGGCCGGCAUCGGCUACGGCCGCAACAUCAACGAGAAGCAGAUCAGCCAGGUCCUCAAGGGCCUGCUGGACUCCAAGCGCAACCUCAACCUCGUCGGCUCCACCCCGGGCCUCAAGGAGCUGGCGGACGUGGACCUGCGCAUCGUCAUGUGCCUCAUGUGCGGGGACCCCUUCGGCGCCGACGACGUGCUGCCGCCCCUGCUGCAGGCCCAGGCCUGCCGGCCGGCGCCGAGCAGCAGCUCCUCGGUGCUGCUGGAGCUGCCCGUGGGGCCCCACAAGCGGCGCACGGAGCUGUCGCUGCUGUCCUACCACGCGUCCUUCGGCGUGCGCAAGAGCCGCCUGGUGCACGGCUACAUCGUCUUCUACUCGGCGCGGCGCCGGGCGUCGCUGGCCAUGCUGCGGGCCUUCCUCUGCGAGGUGCAGGACAUCGUGCCCGUGCAGCUCGUGGCGCUCACCGACGGCUCCGCCGACAUCCUGGACAACGACGUGAGCCGCGAGCAGCUGGCGGAGGGCGAGGAGAUCGCCCAGGAGAUCGACGGGCGCUUCGCCGCCGUGUCCUGCGGCCCGCCCGCCCAGCACAAGCUGGAGCUCUUCCAGCCCUUCUUCAAGGACGUGGUGGAGAAGAAGAACAUCGUGGAGGCCGCCCACAUGUACGACAACGCGGCCGAGGCGUGCAGCACCACCGAGGAGGUGUUCAACUCGCCCCGCGCCGGCUCCCCCCUCUGCAACUCCAACCUGCAGGACUCGGAGGAGGACGCGGAGCCCCCCGGCUACAGCCCCUUCCGGGAGGAGCCCGCCGUGCCCGCCCUGCCCAAGGACCACUCGAAGCUCUCCAUGGAGCUGGAGGGCAACGACGGGCUGUCCUUCAUCUCCGUCGUGAGCACUUUCGAGAGCAAGCUGAACAACAAAGUACCUCCCCCGGUGAAGCCCAAGCCCCCCGUGCACUUCGACAUCAAGGGCGACCUCUCCUACCUGGAGCAGGGCCACCGGGACGGGCAGAGGAGGUCGGUGUCCUCCUCGGGCUGGCUGCCCGCCGACUGCUUCGACCCCUCGGACUACGCCGAGCCCAUGGACGCCGUGGUGAAGCCGCGCAGCGAGGAGGAGAACAUCUACUCGGUGCCCCACGACAGCACCCAGGGCAAGAUCAUCACCAUCCGCAACAUCAACAAGGCGCAGUCCAACGGCAGCGGCAACGGCUCGGACAGCGAGAUGGACACGAGCUCCCUGGAGCGCGGCCGCAAGGCCCCGGCGGCCGCCAAGCCCGCCCUGUACCGGGCGCGGUGCCCGCGGCUCGGCCGCUUCGCCGGCUACCGGCCCAGCCUCAGCCUGGGCAGCGACGACGAGCUGGGGCCCAUCAUCCGCAAGAAGGAGGAGGAGCAGAGCUCCCAGGGCUGCUACAAGGGCGACAACGCCGUCAUCCCCUACGAGGCGGCCGACGGGGAGGACCCACGCAGGAGGAACAUCCUGCGCAGCCUCAGGAGGACCACCAAGAAACCAAAGCCCAAGGCGAGGCCCUCGGUCACCAAGAGCACGUGGGAGAGCAGCUACUUCGGGGUGCCCCUGGCCAGCGUCGUGUCCCCCGAGCGGCCCAUCCCCGUCUUCAUCGAGCGCUGCAUCGAGUACAUCGAGGCCACGGGGCUGAGCACAGAGGGGAUUUACCGGGUCAGCGGGAACAAGUCGGAGAUGGAGAGUCUGCAGCGGCAGUUUGACCAGGACCACGGGCUGGACUUGGCCGAGAAGGAUUUCACCGUCAACACCGUGGCCGGAGCCAUGAAAAGCUUCUUCUCGGAGCUGCCGGAGCCGCUGGUGCCCUACGCCAUGCAGGUGGAGCUGGUGGAGGCCCACAAGAUCAACGACCGGGAGCAGAAGCUCCACGCGCUGAGGGAGGUGCUCAGGAAGUUCCCCCGGGAGAACUACGAGGUCUUCAAAUACGUCAUCGGGCACCUCAACAAGGUGAGCCACAACCACCGUGUGAACCUGAUGACCAGCGAGAACCUGUCCAUCUGCUUCUGGCCGACGCUGAUGCGGCCGGACUUCAGCACGAUGGACGCGCUGACGGCCACCAGGACCUACCAGACAAUCAUCGAACUCUUCAUCCAGCAGUGCCCCUUCUUUUUCUACAACCGGCCCCUCCUCGAGCCCCCCGGCGCCGCCUCCUCCUCCUCCUCCGCCCCCGGCGCCCCGGCCUCGCCCUCCUCCUCCUCCUGCUCCGGCCCCUUCCCCUCCCCGGCGCCGCCCUCGCCCCCCCGGACCCCCCCUCCGUCGCCGCAGUCGCCCGUCCAGCCGCCGGAGCCGCCGACGCUCUGAGCACACCCCCCCCGAUCCCGAAAAAAACUGGAGCUCACCCCCCCCGGAUGCCCCCCCCAGACUUUUUGGCUCGGAUUCCCCCCCCAUGGGGUGUGACCGGAGGGGCUCGGCCGGGGGGGGAAAGGAAAGGGGUGGGGGGCGGCUCUAGGGGGUGGGGGUACGGCCGGCACGGGCCAAGGGGGGGCCAAGGUUUGGCCAAAGGGGGGCCCAGGAUUUGGCCGGGGUGGUCCUGGGUUUGGCCAGUAGGACCUGAGGCUCGUCUGGUGGGAGCGGGGUGGCCCAAGGCUCGUCCAGAGGGACCUGGGGCACGUCCAGUGUGAUCCAGAGUGGCCCAAGGCUCGUCCAGAGGGACCUGAGGCACGUCCAGCGUGAUCCAGAGUAGCCCAAGCCUUGGCCAGGGUGGUCCAAGGCACUUCCAGAGGGACCUAGUGGCCCAAGGCUUGGCCAGGGUGGUCCAAGGCUCAUCCAGAGGGACCUGAGGCAACAUCCAGCGUGAUCCAGAGUCACCCAAGGCUCAUCCAGAGGGACCUGAGGCACAUCCAGCGUGAUCCAGUGUGGCCCAAGGCACAUCCAGCACAUCCCAAGGCUCGUCCCAGAUGUCCUGAGGCUCCUCCAGGAGAU
RNA transcript from Corapipo altera (White-ruffed manakin), 5339 nucleotides. It is a transcript of the gene named Rho GTPase activating protein 35, with no coding region annotated. The transcript has 7 exons. The record is from RefSeq and is a predicted model, not a curated record. NCBI's taxonomy places the organism in Eukaryota, Metazoa, Chordata, Aves, Passeriformes, Pipridae.